AGCAACAUGGCGCAGGGGUAGCGCGCGGGGCUCAUACCGGUGCCCAGGGGUAUUUCCCUGGUCCAUGAAACCCCGAGGUCACUGGAUCGAAACCAGUUGUUGCUA
Molecule: non-coding RNA, 105 nt
Organism: Obba rivulosa
Lineage: Eukaryota; Fungi; Basidiomycota; Agaricomycetes; Polyporales; Gelatoporiaceae
Source: the annotation of a GenBank genome assembly